AAAAUUGCGUAAUUACAUGAUUACAAUAUGUGUCACAUUAUUCCUCAUUUCUAAUGCUCCGCAUCGACGCCCAUGCAUUUAUCCUACGUACGUCCUGUGCUUCGAAUAAGUGUUCAACUUAUACGUACAUAUGUGGCUGACCGUGGAGUUAAAAUAAAAGGCAUAUUAGAGAUCUGUUUCUGUCCAAGACACGACAACCAACUCGGCUGAACCCGUCGUUCUCCAUCUAAUUGUCUUAAUACCGACGUGAUUUACUCCCCCGUACCGUGUCACUUCUGACAAUCACUUCUCGUAUACAUAUCAAGCAUGUACACCUAGCAUGAUUGCGUACGUUCUACAUUUUAACAAUCAAUAGUUCCAGUUUCUGCCGGUGGUUAAGAAACUUUAAACUGACUACCGGUGCAGCGAACCCUUGCGCAAGGCGAUUUUUCUUUUGAUCGUCCCACGAUCGUGAAACUGGAUUGUACGGAAGGUCACAUGAAGCACAUCGUCAGUGUAUGAGUUGAAAAGAGACUGGUCGGUAUGCCCCCUGAGCGAGAAACCACUUCUGGCUGGCAAUUAAGGAACCAGCGAAUGUAUAUGACCUGAGCUUGGUGAGGAAGAACGUCUUCUAUGCGUUCCAAGAAAAGCGGGAUACCAACGAAACGUGCUCGCGCAAUAUAUGGCGUACAAGUACUCCGUUCAUCUGUGGUUAUCGCCCUCUUGUCCCCUCUGCGUAUCGGCUUUCGUGAAGUCGAGGUAUUUCCACGAUAAAAAAUUUUACCAGAAUUCACUUAUCGGGCGUGUAGGUCGAACAAGAACGCGCCAUGACUAUUGGUCAACGUUGAAGUUCGUUAGCGCGCGUUUUUUUUUUUUUCUUUCCCCUCCAUAACGGUUAACCGUUCCUCGGCUCGUGCACACGCACACGAACAUCGUACACACCAUGUUUUGCAUCUGAUUCGUUUGAAUCGAUAUUCUUGCCUACUCACAGUCGUGGUUUAAUCGCCACGUUACAAAGAUUAAUCGUUCGCUAGAUACGAGAGACAAGUUAUCGGGUAAUAUAUGUGUGUCGUGGUAAAUUUACAUGGCAAUGGUAGUAACACGGUUUACAUAGGAAAUACGAGAUUACUCUCGAGUUUAAUCCCGAGCGGGGCUUCAUCUCUUUCUGCUUAAUCCCGUUGUUACAAACGAUUAGCAACAUUAUCUCGGGGGCGGUAUAAUAUUUAUCAUUCCCAUGGCUGUAGGGCGAGAACUGUGAGCAGGGAAAUGCGGAAUAGCAGCGGAUUCUGCAUACUACAGGUAUACACGUUUGAAAAUAUCCUUGUGAGCAGCGGAACGAUACAGAUGGGGCGACGUUGGUAGCGGCAACCCCGCGCCGCGUUGCUUGCACGAAGCGAAGGUUGCUGCUACGUGGACUCGGAGGGAUGGUAGAGAGGCACAGACACAGAAGAGGGAAGAGGUUGUGUCGUGGAGCGAGUAGAGCGGUCGUGGCUCUGGCAGCAGCAACACGUAGUACACGGUAGCACCGCGACGAGGACGCACACGGUUCGUAUCACGUCGCUUCGGUAGUCAGUAGACUCGCUUCGAGCCAGUCUCACUUCGGUCCAGUGGCGCAGCCGCGUUACGCGAUACAUUUUUUCGUAUCUCCAACCACUACCAGCGGCAUCAUCACCGCUACACCACCACUACUAUCACCAGCGUCGCUGUUACCACCGCUACCACCACCUGCACCGUCGAGCGUGUCAACAUAUACGUAAACGUCAGCAGGACUACAGAGCCACAGUCGGGUUGUUCCUG
Molecule: long non-coding RNA, 1776 nt
Organism: Frieseomelitta varia
Lineage: Eukaryota; Metazoa; Arthropoda; Insecta; Hymenoptera; Apidae
Exons: 4
Source: RefSeq, a predicted model, not a curated record